RNAcentral lists this ribosomal RNA (408 nucleotides) under uncultured bacterium. RNAcentral's name for it is "partial 16S ribosomal RNA". It matches the Rfam family "Bacterial small subunit ribosomal RNA", at positions 28 to 526 of the family's 1533-position model. The record is from RNAcentral.
GACGAACGCUGGCGGCGUGCUUAACACAUGCAAGUCGAACGCAGUGGCGAACGGGUGAGUAAUGCGUAAUUAACUUGCCCUUCAGAGGGGGACAACAGUUGGAAACGACUGCUAAUACCGCAUACUGAAGGAGGGGAUUGCGUCUGAUUAGCUAGUUGGUGGGGUAACGACCCACCAAGGCGAUGAUCAGUAGGCGGUCUGGGGGGAUGAACGGCUACAUUGGGACUGAGACACGGCCCAGACUCCUACGGGAGGCAACAGUGGGGAAUUGUCCGCAAUGGACGAAAGGCGUGCGAAGCAACGGCGCGUGGGUGAUGACGGCCUUCGGGUUGUAAAGCUCUGUUAAUCGGGACGCGGUACCGGAAUAGAAAGCCACGGCUAACUACGUGCCAGCAGCCGCGGUAAUUC